CCUACGGGAGGCAGCAGUAGGGAAUAGUGCUCAAUGGGGGAAACCCUGAAGCAGCAACGCCGCGUGGAGGAUGAAGGUUUUCGGAGUGUAAACUCCUUUUGUUAGAGAAGAUAAUGACGGUAUCUAACGAAUAAGCACCGGCUAACUCCGUGCCAGCAGCCGCGGUAAUACGGAGGGUGCAAGCGUUACUCGGAAUCACUGGGCGUAAAGAGCGCGUAGGCGGGAUAGCAAGUCAGAUGUGAAAUCCUAUGGCUUAACCAUAGAACUGCAUUUGAAACUGUUAUUCUAGAGUAUGGGAGAGGUAGGUGGAAUUCUUGGUGUAGGGGUAAAAUCCGUAGAGAUCAAGAGGAAUACUCAUUGCGAAGGCGACCUGCUAGAACAUAACUGACGCUGAUGCGCGAAAGCGUGGGGAGCAAACAGGAUUAGAUACCCCUGUAGUC
This 440-nucleotide ribosomal RNA is filed under the name uncultured bacterium. Its description in RNAcentral is "partial 16S ribosomal RNA". It matches the Rfam family "Bacterial small subunit ribosomal RNA", at positions 338 to 795 of the family's 1533-position model. The record is from RNAcentral.